Molecule: unclassified non-coding RNA, 212 nt
Filed under: Hevea brasiliensis (rubber tree)
Lineage: Eukaryota; Viridiplantae; Streptophyta; Magnoliopsida; Malpighiales; Euphorbiaceae
Source: RNAcentral
GCGUACAUAAGUUCAUUUAUACUUUCUUAGAGAUCAUAUUCAUAUGCUAUUGGAACCCCAUAUAUAUGCUUGAUGUUUUCUCUGUCAUUUUCAUAGUACACAUUGACUGGUAUCUUUUUGUAUAUAAUACGGAUGUUUGAUAGAUUCAUACAUUUAGAUUCUAUCUCAAAGAAUCCUAGGUUACUUAUAGCAUUGAUUGCUCUAGCAUGUGG